This 241-nucleotide long non-coding RNA is filed under the name Manihot esculenta (cassava). Its description in RNAcentral is "long non-coding RNA (MESC_LNC001356)". The record is from RNAcentral. Lineage: Eukaryota; Viridiplantae; Streptophyta; Magnoliopsida; Malpighiales; Euphorbiaceae.
GAUGAAAGGGAAGGCAGGAGUCCAGACAUCUAGUGGCUUAGAUUCAAUAGAAGAGGAAGUUCCUCUAUCGCGAUAUUGAAAACGAAGUGUUGGAAUCACCAUCAAUGAACCUACUGCUAAGAAGGCCAAUACAAUUGAAAAUUUUAUGGCCUACAAAAGAAAUUUCAUUCCAAGGUACAUUCAAUGGGACGUCUUUUCUAGCUUUGAUUUUAGGCUUAUUGAACUGUUUGAUGGACAAGGC